CUGGCUGGUGGGAAUGAAACACCCAAAAGUUUUUUUUUUUUUUAAGAACGCUCUUAAAUGAUAACUAAUUUUUCCUGAGCGACGCAAGGAUAAUCAGGCUUCUCUCUAACAGAAAUGCUCUGUUAGGUAAAUCAUAAAACAUUUUGUCAUUCCAGCUGUUUUGAUACAAAACUAAUACAAUUGUAAACUUGAAAGCGGUUAAUCGAAAAAUAUAUAUAUACAUAUUAUUAUUUAUUAUUUCCUAGGAUCAAAUCACUUCGGAAUUGCUGGGAAAUAUGCAGUACAUGCAAUGAAAGCAGGUGUUAUUGGAUUGGCUUUUACUAACAGCUCACCCAUUGUAGUUCCAACCAGAGCAAAAAACUCUGGUAUUGGAACGUGUCCAAUAGCUGCAGCUGCACCUGGAGUUAACGACAGUUUUGAAUUAGACAUGGCUACAUGUACAGUGGCUCUUGGAAAA
Long non-coding RNA from Agrilus planipennis (emerald ash borer), 457 nucleotides. RefSeq lists it as uncharacterized. The record is from RefSeq and is a predicted model, not a curated record. The transcript has 2 exons. NCBI's taxonomy places the organism in Eukaryota, Metazoa, Arthropoda, Insecta, Coleoptera, Buprestidae.